GAUAGGUAACCGGGGUACGUUCCGGGGGAUUUGUGGCGGUGCGAGGGAAAUCCGGUGAAAUACCGGUGCGGUCGCGCCACUGUAACCGGCACUUCGGCGCCGGAAGCCAGGUCACUCGACCGCCACCAACCUACGAA
RNAcentral lists this non-coding RNA (137 nucleotides) under Streptosporangium subroseum. The record is from RNAcentral. Lineage: Bacteria; Bacillati; Actinomycetota; Actinomycetes; Streptosporangiales; Streptosporangiaceae.